Molecule: ribosomal RNA, 226 nt
Filed under: uncultured bacterium
Lineage: Bacteria
Description: partial 16S ribosomal RNA
Rfam family: Bacterial small subunit ribosomal RNA
Source: RNAcentral
GCGUUGUCCGGAAUUAUUGGGCGUAAAGCGCGCGCAGGCGGUCCUUUAAGUCUGAUGUGAAAGCCCACGGCUCAACCGUGGAGGGUCAUUGGAAACUGGGGGACUUGAGUGCAGAAGAGAAGAGUGGAAUUCCACGUGUAGCGGUGAAAUGCGUAGAGAUGUGGAGGAACACCAGUGGCGAAGGCGACUCUUUGGUCUGUAACUGACGCUGAGGCGCGAAAGCGUG